CCUACGGGUGGCAGCAGUGAGGAAUAUUGGUCAAUGGACGCAAGCCUGAACCAGCCAAGCAGCGUGAAGGAAGACGGCUCUAUGGGUUGUAAACUGCUUUUGUACGGGGGUAAACGGAGACACGUGUACCUGUUUGUAUGUAUUGUAUGAAUAAGGAUCGGCUAACUCCGUGCCAGCAGCCGCGGUAAUACGGAGGAUUCAAGCGUUAUCCGGAUUUAUUGGGUUUAAAGGGUGCGUAGGUGGUCUGUUAAGUUAGAGGUGAAAUCCCGAGGCUCAACCUCGGAAUUGCCUUUGAUACUGUUCGCCUUGAGAGCAGUUGAGGUAGGCGGAAUGCAUGGUGUAGCGGUGAAAUGCUUAGAGAUCAUGCAGAACACCGAUUGCGAAGGCAGCUUACUAAGCUGCUUCUGACGUUGAGGCACGAAAGCGUGGGGAGCAAACAGGAUUAGAUACCCGGGUAGUC
RNAcentral lists this ribosomal RNA (460 nucleotides) under uncultured bacterium. RNAcentral's name for it is "partial 16S ribosomal RNA". It matches the Rfam family "Bacterial small subunit ribosomal RNA", at positions 338 to 795 of the family's 1533-position model. The record is from RNAcentral.